GCCCGUUUGAGCUUCGGUGGUCCGGGGUGCAGGCUUCAAACCUGUAGCCGUUGUGAAACGGAGUGGUUCGAUUCCACCUGACGGGCG
Molecule: non-coding RNA, 87 nt
Organism: Polyplax serrata (house mouse louse)
Lineage: Eukaryota; Metazoa; Arthropoda; Insecta; Psocodea; Polyplacidae
Source: the annotation of a GenBank genome assembly